This 21-nucleotide non-coding RNA is filed under the name Caenorhabditis elegans. The record is from RNAcentral. Lineage: Eukaryota; Metazoa; Nematoda; Chromadorea; Rhabditida; Rhabditidae.
UGGGAAAGUUAAUCUGAAAUU